Molecule: long non-coding RNA, 647 nt
Organism: Anthonomus grandis grandis
Lineage: Eukaryota; Metazoa; Arthropoda; Insecta; Coleoptera; Curculionidae
Exons: 4
Source: RefSeq, a predicted model, not a curated record
UUAAUAAUCUUUGCUGAAUAUAAAAGGUUGAAACUGUUACAUCGAGUUAUAGAACAGCAAUUUUAUCGAUUCAAAAUGGCAACAAAAAUUGCUCUGUCCGUGUUCUGUUUGGCCUUGCUGGUAUGCACUCAAGCUAAUCCAGCAAUAAUUAAGGAAAAUUUGAAGUCUGAGGAUCACGAUAUUCACCAAUGUGCUGAUCCAACUAAGGCUACUCUUGUAUUAAUGGACCAAACGGUCGAGAUGGCCGCAAGUUUCUUAACUGUACAUAAAAAAACAGUCAACUUUCCAGACUCUGGUGUAAACACUCACAUUAUUAGUUGCCUUAUUGUUGAAAAUGAAUUAGGGGAUGAUGGUGGUUAUGCAUCUUUAGAACCAAACACUGGAGUGGGAUACUAUACCAGUAAAAUAUAUUUGGAGUCGCAGAGAGGCAAAGCCAUGAAGUUCCACGUUCAAAUCUUUGCCACAGCUAAUAAUACUGGUUCUUAUAUCAUUUAGAUUUACUGCAAUAUGUCUAUUUUUUAUUUGUCAAUUAAAUUGCUGUUAAUGAACAAAAACCAAUACUUUUGCUGAAUAAUUCAAGUCCAUACGAAAUAAAAAAAAAAUCUGUUAUUACUCAUUAAUAAGUAAAACCAUUGCAAUAAAAUAGA